Molecule: ribosomal RNA, 253 nt
Filed under: uncultured bacterium
Lineage: Bacteria
Description: partial 16S ribosomal RNA
Rfam family: Bacterial small subunit ribosomal RNA
Source: RNAcentral
UACGUAGGGGGCAAGCGUUAUCCGGAUUUACUGGGUGUCAAGGGAGCGUAGACGGCGAUGCAAGCCAGAUGUGAAAGCCCGGGGCUCAACCCCGGGACUGCAUUUGGAACUGUAUAGCUAGAGUGUCGGAGAGGCAGGCGGAAUUCCUAGUGUAGCGGUGAAAUGCGUAGAUAUUAGGAGGAACACCAGUGGCGAAGGCGGCCUGCUGGACGAUGACUGACGUCGAGGCUCGAAAGCGUGGGGAGCAAACAGG